GGAUCAAUAUAUCGGUCAUGCUUAGGUAUGUACUGGUAUUAUUGAUUUCUCCCUUCUGAAGAACCAUGAUGUCAUUUAUUUGAUGUCGUGGGGAAUCAGGACUGUUACUUUGAAAAAAUUAGAGUGUUUAAAGCAGGCUUUCGCUUGAAUACAUUAGCAUGGAAUAAUGAAAUAGGACGUUUGAUUCUAUUUUGUUGGUUUCUAGGAUCGACGUAAUGAUUAAUAGGGAUAGUUGGG
RNAcentral lists this ribosomal RNA (237 nucleotides) under Glomus sp. Its description in RNAcentral is "partial small subunit ribosomal RNA". The stretch from base 46 to 237 matches the Rfam family "Eukaryotic small subunit ribosomal RNA", at positions 693 to 886 of the family's 1831-position model. The record is from RNAcentral. Lineage: Eukaryota; Fungi; Glomeromycota; Glomeromycetes; Glomerales; Glomeraceae.